UUGAUGUUUCGGGGUUUAGGGUUUAGAGUUGAUGUUUCAUGGUUUAAGGUUUAGAGUUGAUGAUUUAGGGUUUAAAGUUAAUGUUUUAAGUUUAGAUUUAGGGUUUAGGGUUUACAUUUAGGGUUUAGAGUUGAUGUUUUAGGGUUUAGAUUUGAAGUUUUCGGGUUUUGGGUUUAGAGUUAUGUUUCGGGGUUUAGGGUUUAGAGUUGAUGUUUCAUGGUUUUGGGUUUAGAGUUGAUGAUUUAGGGUUUAGAGUUGAUGUUUUAAGUUUAGAC
RNAcentral lists this long non-coding RNA (275 nucleotides) under Brassica napus (rape). Its description in RNAcentral is "long non-coding RNA (BNAP_LNC017020)". The record is from RNAcentral. Lineage: Eukaryota; Viridiplantae; Streptophyta; Magnoliopsida; Brassicales; Brassicaceae.